This 1483-nucleotide ribosomal RNA is filed under the name Solenopsis jacoti. RNAcentral describes it as "partial 28S ribosomal RNA". It matches the Rfam family "Eukaryotic large subunit ribosomal RNA", at positions 364 to 1413 of the family's 3401-position model. Lineage: Eukaryota; Metazoa; Arthropoda; Insecta; Hymenoptera; Formicidae. The record is from RNAcentral.
UUGAAAAGAACUUUGAAGAGAGAGUUCAAGAGUACGUGCAUUCGUUCAGGGGUAAACCUAAGAAACCCAAAAGAUCGAACGGGGAGAUUCAUCGUCAGCGACGCUGGCUUCGCGUCGGUGGGCGAUGCCACGCGGGGCCUCGCGGCUCGCGCGCGGGCACGCUACCGUGCGUCGACGUCCGGCGUUCGUCGUCGUGCACUUCUCCCCUAGUAGAACGUCGCGACCCGCUGGGUGUCGGUCUACGGCCCGGGUGCGGUGGCUGACGCGUCGCCGGUAAAACGGCACGCGUCAAACCCCCGGUCGCCCGGCCGGCUGCCCGGCGGUACACGCAAGGUAUCAGGCCGCAGCUCUCGAUCUAAAACUCCCGAGCCUGUGCGUCGAGGCCGUCGCAAGCGCGCGCCACGGUACACGGAGGUUCACGGACCUGGCGCCGUCACCGGUCCUGGCCCGCUGCUGGCUCGUACGGUUAACCUUCGACAGGCCCGCAAACGCGUCCCCCGUCGCCGCGCGCGGGCCCUCGGGUCCGCGCGUCGGCGCGCGCGGGGACCGCGAUACCGGUCGGCGACGCUACUGCUUUGGGUACUCUUAGGACCCGUCUUGAAACACGGACCAAGGAGUCUAACAUGUACGCGAGUCAUUGGGACUUGACUGUAUACCUAAAGGCGCAAUGAAAGUGAAGGUCGGCCCUGGUUGUCGACCGAGGGAGGAUGGGCCGCGUCGCGACGCGGCUCCGCACUCCCGGGGCGUCUCGUUCUCAUCGCGAGAAGAGGCGCACCCAGAGCGUACACGUUGGGACCCGAAAGAUGGUGAACUAUGCCUGGUCAGGACGAAGUCAGGGGAAACCCUGAUGGAGGUCCGUAGCGAUUCUGACGUGCAAAUCGAUCGUCGGAACUGGGUAUAGGGGCGAAAGACUAAUCGAACCAUCUAGUAGCUGGUUCCCUCCGAAGUUUCCCUCAGGAUAGCUGGCACUCGACCGUUCCCGCACGGAACGCGAGCGAGUCUCAUCUGGUAAAGCGAAUGAUUAGAGGCCUUGGGGCCGAAACGACCUCAACCUAUUCUCAAACUUUAAAUGGGUGAGAUCUCUGGCUUUCUUGAACUGUGAAGCCACGAGCAUCUCGGAUCAGAGUGCCAAGUGGGCCAUUUUUGGUAAGCAGAACUGGCGCUGUGGGAUGAACCAAACGCAGAGUUAAGGCGCCCAACUCGACGCUCAUGGGACACCAUGAAAGGCGUUGGUUGCUUAAGACAGCAGGACGGUGGCCAUGGAAGUCGGAAUCCGCUAAGGAGUGUGUAACAACUCACCUGCCGAAGCAACUAGCCCUGAAAAUGGAUGGCGCUGAAGCGUCGAGCCUAUACUCUGCCGUCAGCGGCAAGUGGGGCGGGGCCGCGUGUCACGCGAGGCGCGCGAGCGUCUCCGCGUGCGCGCGAGCGCCGUCACGAGGCCCUGACGAGUAGGAGGGUCGCGGCGGUGUGCGCAGAAGGGUCU